GGAAUGCCUGCCUGCUUGUGUGAAUGGGAAAAAGCGAUUUGCAGGUAACACUGAGUGGGAACUGCAGAUGUUGCAAAUGAAAAGUGAAGUCCAACCUCUAAGAGCCAAUUGAUCCACAGAUUAUGACAUGUGUUCCCCCCCCCGCAUCGACGCACACUAAUGCAGGCGCUUGUACGCAAGAGCAGGAAAUUUGAAUUUGGUUGAAGUUUCAGUUCCUGUAAUGGAGGACGAGCGAGGGAACUAGCGGAGGAUCUGCCAGAGACCACACCCACUAUCAGCAAAUUGGUCCAGAACAUAUGACGCAUGCUCCUCUCCACCUUUGCACUCUACCACAAAAACCAUGCAUGAAAACAGUCUCCUAUUACUGCUAGGUGACAAGAAAGGUGGAGGGCAGCAGCUGAAGGAACAUGCGUGAAGAGGCUAUAGUCAAAGAAAGGGUGUAAGAAUGAUAGGAAAAUGUCUUAGCCACUGGGAAGAGUCUUCUAGCAUGCUUCCCCUUUCUUGCUGAUUGCAUCUCGGUGUAGUGCAAGGAGGCCAGGCAGCCUCUGAGAAGACUCUUCUCAGUAGUAAACACACUCCCCUUUCCUGUAUACCCGCCAUGGUUUACAUCUCUCCCUCUGAUACAAGAAAAAUGCAAAGCACUUCUAUGCCAAUAAUUCCUCUACUUAUUUUUGCUUGAAUUUCAGCUAUUUUGCUCAAUUGACUAUAUGUGUCUUUCCU
Long non-coding RNA from Rhineura floridana, 720 nucleotides. RefSeq lists it as uncharacterized. The record is from RefSeq and is a predicted model, not a curated record. NCBI's taxonomy places the organism in Eukaryota, Metazoa, Chordata, Lepidosauria, Squamata, Rhineuridae. The transcript is spliced from 3 exons.